This 374-nucleotide ribosomal RNA is filed under the name uncultured bacterium. Its description in RNAcentral is "bacterial SSU rRNA". It matches the Rfam family "Bacterial small subunit ribosomal RNA", at positions 362 to 758 of the family's 1533-position model. The record is from RNAcentral.
UAUUGGACAAUGGGCGCAAGCCUGAUCCAGCCAUGCCGCGUGAGUGAUGAAGGCCUUCGGGUUGUAAAGCUCUUUUGGCGGGGACGAUGAUGACGGUACCCGCAGAAUAAGCCCCGGCUAACUUCGUGCCAGCAGCCGCGGUAAGACGAAGGGGGCUAGCGUUGUUCGGAAUUACUGGGCGUAAAGCGAGUGUAGGUGGUUGUCCAAGUUGGAUGUGAAAGCCUUGAGCUCAACUCAAGAAAUGCAUUCAGGACUGGAUGGCUAGAGGACCGGAGAGGAUAGUGGAAUUCCCAGUGUAGUGGUGAAAUACGUAGAGAUUGGGAAGAACACCAGGGCGAAGGGGGCUUCUGACGGUUUCGACACUAAGACCGAAA